CCCUUAGAUGUUCUGGGCCGCACGCGCGCUACAAUGGCAAACUCAGCGAGUCUCCUUUACCGACAGGUAUAGGAAAUCUUUUCAGUGUUUGCCGUGAUGGGGCUAGACCCUUGUAAUUAUUGGUCUCCAACGAGGAAUUCCUAGUAAACGCAGGUCAUUAACCUGCAUUGAUUACGUCCCUGCCCUUUGUACACACCGCCCGUCGCACCUACCGAUUGAAUGGUCCGGUGAAGUCUCCGGACUGAGUACUUUUAGUACUUGGGAAGUUGACUAAACCUUACUAUUUAGAGGAGGGUGAAGUCGUAACA
RNAcentral lists this ribosomal RNA (308 nucleotides) under uncultured eukaryote. RNAcentral describes it as "partial 18S ribosomal RNA". It matches the Rfam family "Eukaryotic small subunit ribosomal RNA", at positions 1470 to 1796 of the family's 1831-position model. The record is from RNAcentral.